CUACACAACUAUUUGAACCAAAAAAUGACACAGCAUUUGUCAAAGCUAACAAUACGUCAUUUGUAUUGCAUUGAUUUACUGUAAGCAUCAGUUGUGGGCUAUUUUGUAUCUUGUUGUACAUGUUAUCAAUGAUUAUCAUUUUGUCAUAAUUGUAUGUAACAUAUACUUGUUAACCUAUUAAAUUAAAUGCAUAAAUGUAUAUAUAAAGAAGCUAUCUAAAUGAUUGUUAUUAUGUAAAAUGAUAUGUUAAAACCUUUAGGACUGAUGGUUUUUUAAUGAUGUAUUUUAUUUUGAAUAAGAGAUUAUGUUACAAAAUGCAUAUUACCAAUUGUAGAUACAUGUGGAAUGUGUCAUAUUUAUAUAAUUAUAGUGCUACAGUAAUACUUUUAAAAUGUUUCCUUUUUUUCUUUUCUUUUCCUUCUGGGUUAUUUCAUGUUAUUACAGUACCUUGAUGAGAUCAACAUGGAAGAGUAUUGCCAAUUUUAGAAUGCAAUUCUGUUGAUUAAUUUAAAUUCUAUAUUUUUUUCCACCAUAGAACUUGUUUAAUAAUCUUGACAUAAAUAAUAAUUUUUGAACUUUAAGUAAGAAGAUUCCUUGGUAGUUGUUGUUUAUAUCCUCUAGACAGGGUUUCAUAAGCGGAUUUAUAGGAAUUCAUUGGCUCAAAUUGGUUGCAAAUAACAGAUUUGAUUUAUAACAAUUUAAGACCUUUUUAUUGUCUCAUUCCAUAGAUGAGAAAGCCAUUAAUUUGAGCGUUUAUUUUACUCAUAUGAUAAUCAGCUGGGAUUCAACAUAGAAACAAUUCAUGUCAGUAAUGUAAAUGUACAGAUAUUACCUUUUCCUUUGAUCAGCCUGCAACAUUUAUGUAGCGGAAGCGAGACAUAACAAUCCUAUAUUCCAUCAUCGUCAGUGACGUCAACAUUAUGCUCAGUCUGUGGAUUAAGAUUUUUCAGACAUCAUUUACUUUGCAAAACUUCAUUUUAUUAAAUUUUUACAGAAGCUUUUUAUGUCCAAAAAGACAGUAAUAUUAAAACAUUUUUUUUCCAUUUUUGUCGAGCCGUUCGACUUUAGUCGAAAACGCGUGACACAGCGAUCCUGCAUUCCGUCGGCGUCGUCGUCGUCGUCGUCGGCUGAGGCGUCCACAAAUAAUCACUCUGUGGUUAAAUUUGUUGAAAUUUUAAUAACUUUCUUAAACUAUCCUGGAUUUCUACCAAACUUGGACAGAAAAUUGUUUAUAUUCAUAAGAUAGUAUCCUGAAGUAAAUUUUGAAAAAAUAAAAUUCUAUUUUUCCCGUAUUUUACUUAUAAACGGACUUAGUUUUUCUGCCACGAAACAUUU
Molecule: long non-coding RNA, 1335 nt
Filed under: Mytilus galloprovincialis (Mediterranean mussel)
Lineage: Eukaryota; Metazoa; Mollusca; Bivalvia; Mytilida; Mytilidae
Source: RNAcentral